GUGCCAGCCGUCGCGGUAAUACCGGCAGCUCAAGUGAUGGCCGAUCUUAUUGGGCCUAAAGCGUCCGUAGCUGGCCUCGCAAGUCCGUCGGGAAAUCCAUCAGCCCAACUGAUGGGCGUCCGGCGGAAACUACAAGGCUUGGGACCGGAAGGCUCGAGGGGUACGUCCGGGGUAGGAGUGAAAUCCCAUAAUCCCGCACGGACCACCGAUGGCGAAAGCACUUCGAGAAAACGGAUCCGACAGUGAGGGACGAAAGCCAGGGUCUCCAACCGGAUUAGAUACCCGGGUAGUCC
RNAcentral lists this ribosomal RNA (293 nucleotides) under uncultured bacterium. RNAcentral describes it as "partial 16S ribosomal RNA". It matches the Rfam family "Archaeal small subunit ribosomal RNA", at positions 455 to 747 of the family's 1478-position model. The record is from RNAcentral.